This 468-nucleotide ribosomal RNA is filed under the name uncultured bacterium. RNAcentral's name for it is "partial 16S ribosomal RNA". It matches the Rfam family "Bacterial small subunit ribosomal RNA", at positions 28 to 507 of the family's 1533-position model. The record is from RNAcentral.
GACGAACGCUGGCGGCGUGCCUAACACAUGCAAGUCGAACGGAAAGGCACUGCUUUUGUGGGGUGAUCGAGUGGCGAACGGGUGAGUAUCACGUGAGUAACCUGCUCUUGUCUUUGGGAUAACUUCAGGUAACUGGGGCUAAUAUCGGACAGGAGCUCCUCCUCCAUGGUGGGCGUUGGAAAGUUUCGGCGGUUGGGGUUGGACUCGAGGCUUAUCAGCUUGUUGGUGGGGUAGGGGCUGACCAAGGCUUUGACGGGUAGCCCGCCUGAGAGGGUGACCGGCCACCAUAAGACUGCGAUACAGCGCAGACGGCUACUUAGGACAGUAGUGGGGAACAUAGCACAGUAAGGACAAGCCAGAUGAGGCAGCGUGGCGAUCGUGAUGACCUGCUACGGGUGAAGAACCGCUUUGGCUUGUGACAUAGCGGGGGUGACGGUAAGGAGUAAAGAAGCACCGGCUAACUUCGUG